Molecule: small nuclear RNA, 192 nt
Organism: Indicator indicator
Lineage: Eukaryota; Metazoa; Chordata; Aves; Piciformes; Indicatoridae
Product: U2 spliceosomal RNA
Exons: 1
Source: RefSeq, a predicted model, not a curated record
AUCGCUUCUCGGCCUUUUGGCUAAAAUCAAGUGUAAUAUUUGUUCUUAUCAGUUUAAUAUCUGAUACGUCCUGGAUUAGAGGAUUUUCCAUUAAACGGAUUUUUCGGCGCUGGAGUUGGAUCCGGAGCUUGCUUCCCUCCGCUCCGCGCAUCGUCUUGGUAUUGCAGUACCUGUACGAACGGUGCACCCCCC